AAAGGAAUUGACGGGGGCCCGCACAAGCAGUGGAGUAUGUGGUUUAAUUCGAAGCAACGCGAAGAACCUUACCAGGUCUUGACAUCGAGUGAAGAACAUAGAGAUAUGUUCGUCCUUCGGGACACAAAGACAGGUGGUGCAUGGUUGUCGUCAGCUCGUGUCGUGAGAUGUUGGGUUAAGUCCCGCAACGAGCGCAACCCUUACCAUUAGUUGCUACAUUCAGUUGAGCACUCUAAUGGGACUGCCGUUGACAAAACGGAGGAAGGUGGGGACGACGUCAAAUCAUCAUGCCCCUUAUGACCUGGGCUACACACGUACUACAAUGGCAAUAAACAAUGGGCAGCAACACAGCGAUGUGAAGCGAAUCUCCAAACAUUGCCUCAGUUCGGAUUGUAGGCUGCAACUCGCCUACAUGAAGUCGGAAUUGCUAGUAAUCGUGGAUCAGAAUGCCACGGUGAAUACGUUCCCGGGCCUUGUACACACCGCCCGU
This 490-nucleotide ribosomal RNA is filed under the name uncultured bacterium. RNAcentral's name for it is "bacterial SSU rRNA". It matches the Rfam family "Bacterial small subunit ribosomal RNA", at positions 903 to 1397 of the family's 1533-position model. The record is from RNAcentral.